Molecule: unclassified non-coding RNA, 21 nt
Filed under: Chlamydomonas reinhardtii
Lineage: Eukaryota; Viridiplantae; Chlorophyta; Chlorophyceae; Chlamydomonadales; Chlamydomonadaceae
Description: small RNA Cre_1969
Source: RNAcentral
GGUCCUAUGGCUUAAUGGAUA